Molecule: long non-coding RNA, 322 nt
Filed under: Sorghum bicolor (sorghum)
Lineage: Eukaryota; Viridiplantae; Streptophyta; Magnoliopsida; Poales; Poaceae
Description: long non-coding RNA (SBIC_LNC013241)
Source: RNAcentral
GGCCGCGCAGCCUAGGACGAGGUGAACUUGGUGACGGCCUUGGUGCCCUCAGAGACGGCGUGCUUCGCGAGCUCCCCGGGGAGGACGAGGCGGACGGAGGUCUGGAUCUCGCGGGAGGUGAUGGUGGGCUUCUUGUUGUACCGCGCGAGCUUGGCGGCCUCGGCGGCGAGCUUCUCGAAGAUGUCGUUGAUGAAGGAGUUCAUGAUGGACAUGGCCUUGGAGGAGAUGCCGAUGUCCGGGUGCACCUGCUUCAGCACCUUGAAGAUGUAGAUCUUGUACGUCUCCACGCUCUUCUUGCCCUUCUUCCGGCCCCGCUUGCCCU